UUAUAGGCAACUUUGCAUAAUAACAUCAUUAGUGCUUUUUUUCCCUACAGUGAAAUGAUCGAAUGCUUUAAUCAGAUUGCUGAAGACUCAGAGUGCCGUGUGGUGGUGGUCUCGGGUGCAGGGAAAAUCUUCACUGCAGGCACGGACGCUGAUCACAGAGGAGAGCCUGAUGACCACGAUCGUCCGCACACUCCAUGAUCACCUGAGACAUCCAGACCAGCAGGGACGAUUUCAGUUUGAACUCUACAGUGCACAAAAGAUAUGUCCUGAUUAGCCGUCCAACAGAGUGGACCGACAAGCUCAGGGAGAAGUUUCUGGAAGGACUUGAUGCUUUCUUGGAGCUGCUCAAGUGCAUGCAGGUAUGGACCCAGUAGUACGCGACGUGGGCCAAGACAUAGAGAUGGAACCAUUGUGGGUGACAGCCUUCACAUUGCAGAUGAAGCUCACACACAUUCUCAGUGAUGCAAGAGUGGUGUGCCAGUGAUGUGAGUACUAACACACUCACCAGUACUAGUAUAUUACAAUGUGUGCACACUCUACAGGAGUUCUGGUAAUGCGACCAUAGCAGCAAAUGCACAUAUUAUUCCUGCACAAACUAAAACCAACAAGAUCUGUCUGAAGAUCACAGGACUUUUGUCUUUGUCAUGUCUUUGAGGUGUAUGGAAAUGAUUGGCUCCGAGUAGGGAUUUCUUGAAGGUCAAAGUUCUACAUGUGGUUGUAAAUUUAAAUCUAUAUAUGGAAGCCUUCAAAUAAGAAGGAAGUAUUCGACGUGCAGGAAGUGGACAAAAUAACUAACAGUACAUGAAAAAGCAUCUUGACAAGCACAGCUAUUGUG
Molecule: long non-coding RNA, 835 nt
Organism: Ictalurus furcatus (blue catfish)
Lineage: Eukaryota; Metazoa; Chordata; Actinopteri; Siluriformes; Ictaluridae
Exons: 4
Source: RefSeq, a predicted model, not a curated record